Solanum tuberosum (potato) is the source of this 3140-nucleotide long non-coding RNA. RefSeq lists it as uncharacterized. The record is from RefSeq and is a predicted model, not a curated record. NCBI's taxonomy places the organism in Eukaryota, Viridiplantae, Streptophyta, Magnoliopsida, Solanales, Solanaceae. The transcript has 5 exons.
AUCCAUUCUCUGUCCCAAGAAAAAAUGCUCUGCAAAAUGGAAGGGUUUUGCAAGCCCUCAUAUGAAAUUCUCAGUUAAAUUGCAUACCUUCCUAGGACUUUACAAGUACUUGGAGAAGAAAGGAAAGGAAAGAAAUUGAGAAGAUGCCAUGCAGGGAACAUUGAGCGUUAUCAGGUACAUCGAACUUAAUUUGAUUUUUUUUCUCAAAAACACUUUCAACUGGAAGGAUUAGCUAUUAGAGUUACCCUAUUUUCACAACCCUUUCUCAUAUGUGGAAAGUCCAGUAUUUCUCCCUCUUUAGUUGAUUUAAUUUUCCAGUUGGAUAUGCAGUUGAAUUAUAAUGUUGAAUACUAACAUAUGUAUAUGUAGAUAAACAUAAACUAUAAUUUGCUUAUAUGACACGGGAGACUUUCUUUGAACAUGAAGAAUUCUUUGUAAGAUAAGUUAUUUAUUUUUCAUAGAGUGCAAGUUUCGGUAUAUAAAUAGCAAACAAUCUCCAUUUUUAACACAUCUUAUUCAUUUAUCUGAAAGCUAUGGAAAAAUGCAGAUUUCAAUCAAUAGUUACCGCCUUGAGGGAAUUACAAAAUUGGCUCAGAGAUUUGUUCCUAUACCAUUUGCCCCUGAAGAAUUUUAUGAUCUGGAUGCUUAUAACCCUGCUGAAAGUAAGUUCAUUAUGAAACUUCAAGUUCAUCCAUAACGAAUGAGCCAAGAAGAUAGUCACGAAUUUGAUUUGCUUAUCAGGAACAGACAGAAGACAUACAAAGAUACAUAUUAAUUAGGCAUCAUUUCCAUGAUCACAUUCAUAUUUAUCGGCUCAGUUGACUCCUCAAAGUCAAAGUGAAAUUCUUGAAGAAAGCUUUCAAGGUCACAAGGAAUGAUUGGCGAAAAUUGCUUACCUGAGCCAGGUUAGAAGAUGAACACAAGAUUCUGGUGUGCGAAUUCAUGCCGAGGGGAAGUUUGGAAAAUCAUCUAUUCAGAAAGGAGUGCUUAUUUCCAACCGCUAUCAUAGAAUCUCCGAAUGAAGGUUACUCUCAAGGCAGCUAAAGGACUGACAUAUCUCCACAGCCCAGAAGCUAAAAUUAUGUAUCAGGAUUUCAAAUCAUCUAACAUUUUGCUGGCUGCUGUAUCUAAAACUACUUUAAAAUUUAGUCUUCUACAAGUUUUAACAAUAUUUCUGUUGCCCUCUUAUGAUUUGUCCAUACAAUUCAGUUGUGCUACUCCCGAGUAUAUGACCACUGGUAAUAUACAAUUUCAAUUUACUCCUAAUUGUUCUUGUGCUUUACCUGAGCUGAGCGUCAAUCGGAAGCCAAGUACAAAAGUAGUUAAAAGAUAGAGAUGGUGUAAUUAGGCGUAGCUUGGCUGGUCCAUUUCCAUCCGUUUCUCUGUUCAAGGAGUAUCAAAAUGCAGCGAUGGUAGUAAAUUGAUCAAUAUUCACUGUACUAUGUCAUAUUUCCAGCAUUAGAUAGUACGUUUAUCAAUAGUUUAGCCAAUUUUUAGAUAUAAGUGUAUCCAAAUUGCUUAAAAGUUGCACAGCUAGACUGUUUUGGCAUGAUAAAUGAUGUUGUUUGAUCUAAAAUUUAAUAUGAAUUUGGUAUAUUACCCGUUGUUAUGCGAGCUUAAUUUUUGGAUUCACAUGUAAAAAUUGACAGUCCAUAGUAGCCUCUUUCUCGAUGUAGUUGUCAGUUGUAACUUUGCUUUCUGUUCUUUGAGCUACUUUACUGCACUUGAAGAGAAAAUUCAGUAAAAAUGUGGCUUGUAUACUUAAAAGCCGGGGGAAUUCAAAACUGAAGUAAGACGAAUUCCUCAUUAAUGUGUUUUGAUGGAUUUUAUGGUCAACUUGGUGGCUAUGUUAUAUGAAUUUUGUUGCACAUCACUGAAAUUAGUUGCUGACUGUUUUGUGUGUACUUAAUGAAUUGUAUCCACAUUACAUGGACUCUCACUUUCAAUGCAGCAUCAGUGUUGAGUUAAUUUGACAGCGUGUCCAGUCUCCUCAACUUUUGUAAAUGUAACUCUUUAGGACACUCUGAUUAUCGACCUGUGGCUUCUUUGAUAUAUCUGUCUCUUUGUUAGGUAGAUUUUUUGUUUCUGCGUCGAAAAACUACAUGUUGUCCAUUCAUUUAGGUAGCUUAAAUGAUGUUUUAAUAGAAGACUACUGCAAAAAAUUCCUCCACCUUAAAGCAUAUUCGUCAGGUAAAUACAGAGGGUUAACACAAGCUGCUCAAUUAGUUCUAAUGGUAAAUGUUGUUUUAUUACAUCCUCAAAUAGAGGCCUCACAUUCGAACUUGGGAAACAUUUAGUCAAUAAGUGCACUAAAAUGAAUAUAGUGUGAAUAGACUUCCUUCAUCAAUUAGCCUCGCUAAAUUUGUUAAAUUAUCACACAAAUUUUCUUAAGUUCUUGAUGAGGUCUCUCUUAAGAGUUAUCUCCUCUGUUUAAUCCUUCAGUCUUUCAUGCUCGCAAAUAUCAAUACUAUGUGUCCUGAAAGAAAUUGGGAGUGUAACAUUACUUGGUUUGUUCUGUCAUGUAACCUGAGAUCAUUUCUUUUCUCAGCUUCUAAUUGUCGCCUCUCAUAUGUAAAUCAUAUAACCACCAGAAGUGACGUAUACAGUUUUGGAGUUGAAGAAAAACUGCCCCCACGGAGAACAUAAUCUAAUCCAAUAGGCUUAAGCCUUUACAAAUUACCUCUAUUUUAUAGUUUACUGACAAAUUAAAGUUCAUCUCAAGAGUUGUACAUGUUCAUGAAUAAAAGUAAUAAACUUAAUUUUAUUUCUUUAACAUGUGAUGCACUCACUGUAUUACUUCAGAAAUAAUGAAUAGUUGGUGCAGUUAUACAAUAUCUCUUUACUUACCGUUUGUCUACUAUAGAUUCGAAGACCACAGGGUGAGAUUGUAUUCAUUUUGUCCCUAUAUAAGAUGACAUAGUUAUGUCGAUUAUUGUCUCCUAACUCCUUGGAGAAGAGAUUUUCCAUUUUGUAUAGGAUAGUCAAGGGAUGGGAUGGGGGCCGUUGUAAUCCAGCAAAACUCAAUGGGAUGGAUGGGUGAGGAUUUAAGGGUAGCUGGUGUAGGAUAGUCCAGGGAUGGGACGGGGGUUGGAUGCAAUGGCGAAUUUGGAAUUUUCACUAAGGUUGUUCAGUAAUUUCUU